Molecule: ribosomal RNA, 216 nt
Filed under: uncultured bacterium
Lineage: Bacteria
Description: partial 16S ribosomal RNA
Rfam family: Bacterial small subunit ribosomal RNA
Source: RNAcentral
UGGGAACGUGCCCUUUGGUUCGGAACAACUCCGGGAAACUGGAGCUAAUACCGGAUAAGCCCUUCGGGGGAAAGAUUUAUCGCCAAAGGAUCGGCCCGCGUCUGAUUAGCUAGUUGGUGAGGUAACGGCUCACCAAGGCGACGAUCAGUAGCUGGUCUGAGAGGAUGAUCAGCCACACUGGGACUGAGACACGGCCCAGACUCCUACGGGAGGCAG